UUAGAGUUUGAUCCUGGCUCAGGAUGAACGCUAGCUACAGGCUUAACACAUGCAAGUCGAGGGGCAGCGGGAUUGAAGCUUGCUUCAAUUGCCGGCGACCGGCGCACGGGUGAGUAACGCGUAUCCAACCUUCCGUACACUCAGGGAUAGCCUUUCGAAAGAAAGAUUAAUACCUGAUGGUAUGAUGAGAUUGCAUGAUAGCAUCAUUAAAGAUUUAUCGGUGUACGAUGGGGGUACGUUCCAUUAGGUAGUAGGCGGGGUAACGGCCCACCUAGCCAACGAUGGAUAGGGGUUCUGAGAGGAAGGUCCCCCACAUUGGAACUGAGACACGGUCCAAACUCCUACGGGAGGCAGCAGUGAGGAAUAUUGGUCAAUGGACGAGAGUCUGAACCAGCCAAGUAGCGUGAAGGAUGAAGGUCCUACGGAUUGUAAACUUCUUUUAUAAGGGAAUAAACCCUCCCACGUGUGGGAGCUUGUAUGUACCUUAUGAAUAAGCAUCGGCUAACUCCGUGCCAGCAGCCGCGGUAAUACGGAGGAUGCGAGCGUUAUCCGGAUUUAUUGGGUUUAAAGGGAGCGCAGACGGGUCGUUAAGUCAGCUGUGAAAGUUUGGGGCUCAACCUUAAAAUUGCAGUUGAUACUGGCGUCCUUGAGUGCGGUUGAGGUGUGCGGAAUUCGUGGUGUAGCGGUGAAAUGCUUAGAUAUCACGAAGAACUCCGAUUGCGAAGGCAGCCUGCUAAGCUGCAACUGACAUUGAGGCUCGAAAGUGUGGGUAUCAAACAGGAUUAGAUACCCUGGUAGUCCACACGGUAAACGAUGAAUACUCGCUGUUUGCGAUAUACAGCAAGCGGCCAAGCGAAAGCGUUAAGUAUCCCACCUGGGGAGUACGCCGGCAACGGUGAAAC
RNAcentral lists this ribosomal RNA (902 nucleotides) under uncultured bacterium. RNAcentral's name for it is "bacterial SSU rRNA". It matches the Rfam family "Bacterial small subunit ribosomal RNA", at positions 1 to 900 of the family's 1533-position model. The record is from RNAcentral.